UGAUGUUGAAGGCCACUGAAGAAGGAACUAUCCACUCUACUUGGAGAGUCUGAAGACCAAAAGGAUGAUAAACUUUCAGAAAGUAUGCUCGUAAUUAAAUCUAACCUUACGAUUUAUUCUACUUCUAGUUAGAUAUUGGACUCUAGCUCAAGUGCUCAUAUAUGUACUUCAAUGCAAGGUCUAAUAGAAAAUAAGAGGUUGAGGAAAGAUGACAUUAUCCAUC
RNAcentral lists this long non-coding RNA (223 nucleotides) under Elaeis guineensis (African oil palm). RNAcentral's name for it is "long non-coding RNA (EGUI_LNC039081)". Lineage: Eukaryota; Viridiplantae; Streptophyta; Magnoliopsida; Arecales; Arecaceae. The record is from RNAcentral.